GACGAACGCCGGCGGCGUGCUUAACACAUGCAAGUCGAACGGAAAGGCCCUGCUUUUGUGGGGUGCUCGAGUGGCGAACGGGUGAGUAACACGUGAGUAACCUGCCCUUGACUUUGGGAUAACUUCAGGAAACUGGGGCUAAUACCGGAUAGGAGCUCCUGCUGCAUGGUGGGGGUUGGAAAGUUUCGGCGGUUGGGGAUGGACUCGCGGCUUAUCAGCUUGUUGGUGGGGUAGUGGCUUACCAAGGCUUUGACGGGUAGCCGGCCUGAGAGGGUGACCGGCCACAUUGGGACUGAGAUACGGCCCAGACUCCCACGGGAGGCAGCAGUGGGGAAUAUUGCACAAUGGGCGGAAGCCUGAUGCAGCAACGCCGCGUGCGGGAUGACGGCCUUCGGGUUGUAAACCGCUUUCGCCUGUGACGAAGCGUGAGUGACGGUAAUGGGUAAAGAAGCACCGGCUAACUACGUG
This 468-nucleotide ribosomal RNA is filed under the name uncultured bacterium. RNAcentral describes it as "partial 16S ribosomal RNA". It matches the Rfam family "Bacterial small subunit ribosomal RNA", at positions 28 to 507 of the family's 1533-position model. The record is from RNAcentral.